Long non-coding RNA from Mus musculus (house mouse), 5573 nucleotides. RefSeq annotates it as predicted gene, 39308. Lineage: Eukaryota; Metazoa; Chordata; Mammalia; Rodentia; Muridae. The record is from RefSeq and is a predicted model, not a curated record. The transcript is spliced from 2 exons.
CUCAACUGAAGCUCCUUUCUCUGUGAUAACUCCAGCUGUGUCAAGUUGACACACAAAACCAGCCAGUACACUACCUUUAUAACUUAUGAUGUAUUUCUUUAUUCAUGCAUAUCUAAAUGUACAUGGAUGCAAUGCUAUAACACUAUCCCAUAAGUGAGAGUAGGAAUUUAUUUCUAAUGUGUUUGCAAAACAGCUGGUGUGUCCAACUGGAACAUUUAUUUUUACUGUGAUUGAAUUUUUUCUUUUUAAAAAUGAAAAUAGAUUGGGAGGGCAUAAAAUGUAUUUGAAUUAUGGUUGCCAUUCCCCCCAUUUCCUUCCAGAUUCUCCCAUCCUCCCAAAUUCAUAUCCUUUCCUGACUUCUCAUUAGAAAACAAAUAGGUAUCUUUUUAAAAGAUCAUAAGAAAUUAUGUUAAAAUAAAAACAAGCAAACCUGAAUAGGACAGCAAAUGAGCAGAGAAACAAAGUGCCAAAGAAACAGCUUUGAGAAACACAUAGAUGUAGAGACACACACAUUAGCACAUGCAGAAGUCCCCUAAAACACCAAAUCGAAAGCCACAGUAUGUAUGCUAUAGACCUGUCAGGUAAGUGGGAAAGGUGGGCGUGGGGGAUACUAUGUAAGGUGCAUAAUUGUUCCCAGCUGUCCUCUAAGGUAAAGUCCUUAGCAUCAACAAAUCUUAUUUCAUCCUGUUGACUUGAAUGCUGGUUCUGCAGUUAUGUCCCCUUUCUUCCUUAUCCCUUUGUAUAGGACAAAGAGAAAGGCAAAAGUGUGUUUACCAAAUGUUAUCUUCUAAAGACUAUAUUUUUUUCCUACUGUAGACACCUCAGGGUAUGCCUUGAACAAAAGUGGAAAAAUGUGGUAGGUUGGUGUAAAAGGUUUAAAAAUGAGGCUGAGUCUGUUCUGUCAGUGGAGAUGGCAAUCAUCACAGCGGGAAUAGAACGUAUAGAAUGUUGAAAGUUCACAUCUUCUGAUGCAAACUUGAAGCAGAGAGAGAAAACUGAAGCUGUUGACAGUCUAAGCUCUCAAAGCCUGCAUCCAGUGACAUUCUUCCUCCAACAAUGCCACAUUUUCUAAACCUCUCCCAAAUAUCUCCACCAGCUGGGGACAAAGUGCUCCAAUACAUGAGCCUUUGGAGGACAUCCUCGUUCAAACAACCACACGUGCAUUGCAUGAACUUUCCCGUGUGAGGACAGAUAGAAAGUGCAUCAGCCGUCUUGUAGUAGGAAGGAUUAGCUACCUACUCCUCACUCUUACCAUUCUGUGAUUUGGAUACUGUAGGAGACAGUCCUGAAAUGUCCUCUGUCUCCUACUAGACAUAGCUCUUGGCACUGGGGACUACUAUAUUGUAUUUGGUAAAGGCUGUUAAUGCCACAUAAAUCUCAAAUGCAAAGAUGUUUGAUACUGAAGGAGUUAUCUGCACUUUGCUGAAAAAUAGUGAAAGCAGAAUAGUUCAUCAUGCUAAAUAUAGAGUUAAUUGUAGAACAAGAACAUUUUUAGUCAAAGCAUAAUGUAUAAGGAUGAUAUCAGACUGCUAUGGUGAUAUGAAUCUAUUCAAAACUCAGUAUUCGCCGGGUAGUGGUGGUGCACACCUUUAAUCCCAGCACUCAGGAGGCAGAGGCAGGCGGAUUUCUGAGUUCGAGGCCAGCCUGGUCUACAAAGUGAGCUCCAGGACAGCCAGGGCUACACAGAGAAACCCUGUCUCAAAAAACAAAAAACAAAACAAACAAACAAAAAAAAAACAAAAAACUCAGUAUUCACCUAUAUACAGUAGAAAAAAAAUCAGCAUAAAAUGGAAUGCCAAGCACAGCAUCUUUGUAAAUGUCUAUCCAUUGGCUUUGGAAGGAGGACAAGAUAUAGGAAGUAGAAAUUAAGAACAUGAAGGUGAAUUGGAGUUAGAAAUGGCCACAGAAUCAUCACUUACCAUGAGCUAGACAGAAUGUGGUGGGGGUGAUGUACACCUGUAAUCCAGGCACUAAUGAAGCCAAGUCAAGUAAGUUGUAAGCUUGAAGACAAUCAGAAAAAUGUAACAUGAUUCUGUCUCAAAAAUACACCAACAAUAAAAGGAGGAAGGGAAAACACAUGAACACUACAAAUACUGACCCCUGCAGACACUGGGAUGCUAUGAAGAGAAUGGGUAAUAGGCACAGGAUAAAAGAUGAUAGGAAGCCGGGCAAGGUGGCGCAUGCCUUUAAUCCUAGCACUCAGGAGGCAGAGGCAGGCAGAUUUCUGAGUUCGAGGGUAGCCUGGUCUACAGAGUGAGUUCCAGGACAGCCAGGGCUAUACAGAAAAACCCUGUCUCGGGGAAAAAAAAAAUGACAGGAGAAAGUAUGUCCCAUGAUCCAUGGCACAGACAGUGAUUAUAAGUGUGUAUUUAAAAUCAGCCCAUUGUGGCCACUUUGAAUUUCCUAACACAAUAGAUAAUAAAUGCUUAUGUAGCAAAUAUUAUAGUAUGUACAACAGAAUUAGCAAAGGUUGCUACAAGGAUGUUUCCUGGGAAUUUGAAAGGCUUAGGAAAUAAGCCAAGAUAAGGAACAAAUGCAGUUGUAGUUAUGAACAGCUCUUUUUUUUUUUUUUUUUUUUUUUUUUUUUUGGUUUUUCAAGACAGGAUUUCUCUGUGUGGCCCUGGCGGUCCUGGAACUCACUUUGUAGACCAGGCUGGCCUCGAACUCAGAAAUCUGCCUGCCUCUGCCUCCCGAGUGCUGGGAUUAAAGGCAUGCGCCACCAAACCCAGCUUAUGAGCAGCUCUUAAAUAGCUUGGAGAUUUUAUCUGGAAAUGUAGCAAUGUGGAAGAACAGGCAGCAGGCAGAUACUGAGUGUAUAUAAAAAUGAUUCUUGCUAAAUAAUGUUGAUACUGAAAAUUAUUGUAGAAUAAUGAGAAAUAAUUAAUUUUGAAAGUCUGUUCAUGUUUUAUGAAAAAUAAGCUUGGGAGGCUCUUAGCAUUUUCUCAAGAACAGUAAAGAAGUGGGAUGAACACGUGGCAAUAUAUUCCGAGACAGUAAAGCUCAGUAAACGAUACUGGAUCUAAGUCUUCAUGGUCUUUUCAAUCUGAAACAUCUUUUUGUCUAUUUGAAAAUAAUUUUUUUUUGCAUACAGUAAGUAUAUUUGGAUUAUGGUUCCCCCCUCCCUAGAUACUCCCUGCCCUCCCAAAUCUACAUCUUUUCUUGUUAUGUUGAUAGAAAACAAAUAGAAUUUUUUUAAAGAAAAAAAUUAAAGGGGCUGGUGAGAUGGCUCAGUGGGUAAGAGCACCGGACUGCUCUUCCGAAGAUCAGGAGUUCAAAUCCCAGCAACCACAUGGUGGCUCACAACCAUCCAUAACAAGAUCUGACUCCCUCUUCUGGGGUGUCUGAGGACAGCUACAGUGUACUUAUAUAAAAUAAAUAAAAAAAAAAAAAAAUUAAAGACACAAAAUUGGAAACCAUAAAAUAUACACAACAGACUUGUAGGAUAAAACAAAAACAAAACCCCUCCAAAACUACCAUUGAGUUUGUUUUAUGAUGGCCAUCUACUGCUGAGCAUGGGGCCUGGACUGCAGAAUCCUUUGGGUAUGUGAUGUGCAGAGGUUAAGAUCUGAAACAAAAGAUGCUACAUCAGGGAAGAGGUAUCAGCACCAUCUAUACGGUGAUAUUAUGGGUGUGAGGACUUUCGAGGCGCUUUGGAACACUUUACCAUGUCUAUACCUAGGGGUUGAGAGAGUGGGAUGUAUACUUUCUGAAAUUUGGUUGUGCCUGAUGAGCAGCUAUGGUAAGUAUCAUAGUCAAGUUAACCAAUGACUCCUGUGUCCCAUCUGGGGCGACAUGGGUCCCUAAUUAGAAUAUAAAAGAUUUGCAGGGGGCAUUUGUUUGUGUAAUGACAGAAGUUGCCAUCAUUGAAAAUCAAGCAUGCCCAUUUCAGCCAUUUGAACUGUACUGAGGCCAAGCUGUUUAUGGUAAUAGAGUGAGACUUUAAUAAAGUAUGAGUCUGUGGAAGAAGAGAGAAGGGUCGCAAAAUGAAUUCUGUUGGACAAAGUUUCUAUAAGGUUCAAGUGGGAGCUGAGAGACAAAGGAACCCAGGAGGGCAUGGAGAAGCUGUGAAACUCCCAGGAUGGAGGUAAGGUCAGAGAGGCCCAGAAGGGCUUAAGGAAUCGGUGGGCUUAUCAGGCAGCUCCUAGUGGGAGAGAGAAAGGAAACAGGGAGGGUUCCAACAGAGGGAAGGACCAAGUGCUUUAGUAACUAGAGAGUUGCUCACAUUGUGAGGCUCUAGGAGCCAGAGAAAAGCCCCUUACCUAGCAGACAAGAAGAGAUGCUGGUUAAAGCCCCUUACCUAGCAGGCACGGAGAGACGCUGGUUAAAGCCCCUUACCUAGCAGGCAAGGAGAGAUGCUGGUUAAAGCCCCUUACCUAGUAGACACGGAGAGACACUGGUUAAAGCAGGCAAGGGACAAAGCUUCUGGAGAGGUGGCCUCAUGAUUUGUAAUAAAUCUGACAGGUGUCAGACGCCAGCAGAGACAAAUGAGCUUAUGUAGUCCAUGAGAACAAGUCAGUUUGUAAUGCUGAGACAUGGACAUGGCUGAAAGGGAAGUGUAGCAUCCUUUACUCAUGCUCCCAGAAGGGGCAGAGCUCUGGAAGCAGUCGUUUUAGAGCUUGUAUGCCAGGAGGUAGGAUAUGUUGUGACAAGUUAAGGCAGUGAUGGGUGACCCAAAGGUUAACUUCUCUAGUUCAUGUAUAGGAAGUCCAGCUGCAGUCAGGGCUAGCAGAGAAGGAACCCAUCUUUGUAUAGUGUGCUCUCAUGACCCAAGACUCCCAGAGCAUUUCCCUCCUUUUUAGUAACAGGGAGAGAGCAGCUGGAGCUCGGAGGAGGGCCUGUUGAAGUCUAUGCCAGGGCUUGGUUAAUGGGCACAAGGAAUGGUUCAUGAGAGAAGCCAUGGGUCGCCUCAUGUAAGGGCAAAGCAAGAGGAGAGUGAAAGAAAAUUCAAGAGCAUGAGAAGCCAACCAUCCCUAGAAACGAUAGAAUUUCAUCUUUGGUGAUGGGGACUGUGAGUGACUGGAUUGAUUUUUUUUUUUUAAUUUAGGGUGAUGUCCUUGUGAGUAGGAGUUAUAUCUAGUCUCAGAUAAGUAACCUGAGGAGUGGACAACUGGACUGUGGAGUGAAAGGACAACAUAAACCCCAUUUGUCUCCAUUUAAGGACCAGGCCUGGUUUCAAAAAGGCCAUAAGGUACCAUCUCCAAGAAUAGACCAUAAGUUCCAGAAACUAGGUCAUAAGACAUCAGCUCUAGGAACAGACCAUAAAACCCAGAACAAGAUCAUACAACCCCCUACCAAAGAACAGCCAGAGGAUAACCACAAAAAUGGGGAAAUAUCUCUGAAUGGGCCAUCUGUGCUGGGCAGCCCUAUCUCAUUCAUCACAUGGUUGAAUGCUCACAGCAUAGGAAUGUAGAUCACUGAUGAGUCCCUAGCACCCACCAAUGAAAUUUUAGAUUACCUAGUCCUUCUAGAGAGUUCCCUCCGGUUCCCUAUAAGAAGGCCUGCAUGCCUUUGUCUGGGGUCACCAUUUUAGAGAAUGUUUCUGCAGAAUAAACACUCUUUGUUUUUGCAUACUA